CCUACGGGAGGCAGCAGUGGGGAAUUUUGGACAAUGGGCGAAAGCCUGAUCCAGCCAUUCCGCGUGCAGGAUGAAGGCCCUCGGGUUGUAAACUGCUUUUGUACGGAACGAAACGGCGCCCUCUAAUACAGGGUGCUAAUGACGGUACCGUAAGAAUAAGCACCGGCUAACUACGUGCCAGCAGCCGCGGUAAUACGUAGGGUGCAAGCGUUAAUCGGAAUUACUGGGCGUAAAGCGUGCGCAGGCGGUGAUGUAAGACAGAUGUGAAAUCCCCGGGCUCAACCUGGGAACUGCAUUUGUGACUGCAUCGCUGGAGUACGGCAGAGGGGGAUGGAAUUCCGCGUGUAGCAGUGAAAUGCGUAGAUAUGCGGAGGAACACCGAUGGCGAAGGCAAUCCCCUGGGCCUGUACUGACGCUCAUGCACGAAAGCGUGGGGAGCAAACAGGAUUAGAUACCCUGGUAGUCCACGCCCUAAACGAUGUCAACUGGUUGUUGGGUCUUCACUGACUCAGUAACGAAGCUAAACGCGUGAAGUUGACCGCCUGGGGAGUUACGGCCGCAAGGUUGAAACUUCAAAGGAAUUGACGGGCNGAGAGNGCGAGGACGACGACGAGGGAGGAGG
Molecule: ribosomal RNA, 622 nt
Filed under: uncultured bacterium
Lineage: Bacteria
Description: bacterial SSU rRNA
Rfam family: Bacterial small subunit ribosomal RNA
Source: RNAcentral